UACGUAGGUGGCAAGCGUUGUCCGGAAUUAUUGGGCGUAAAGCGCGCGCAGGCGGUUCUUUAAGUCUGAUGUGAAAGCCCACGGCUCAACCGUGGAGGGUCGAUUGGAAGCUGGGGAACGUUGAGUGCAGAAGAGAAGAGCGGAAUUCCACGUGUAGCGGUGAAGUGCGUAGAGAUGUGGAGGAACACCAGUGGCGAAGGCGGCUCUUUGGUCUGUAACUGACGCUGAGGCGCGAAAGCGUGGGGAGCAAACAGGAUUAGAAA
This 263-nucleotide ribosomal RNA is filed under the name uncultured bacterium. RNAcentral's name for it is "partial 16S ribosomal RNA". It matches the Rfam family "Bacterial small subunit ribosomal RNA", at positions 524 to 784 of the family's 1533-position model. The record is from RNAcentral.